RNAcentral lists this ribosomal RNA (948 nucleotides) under Triticum aestivum (bread wheat). RNAcentral describes it as "partial small subunit ribosomal RNA". Lineage: Eukaryota; Viridiplantae; Streptophyta; Magnoliopsida; Poales; Poaceae. The record is from RNAcentral.
AUGCGGACGACCACCAUUGAGGAUUUGCCUGCCGACGUGCUGGCCUGCGCGCUGCGCCGCCUCGACGGCCCGUCCCUGGCCGCCGCGAGCUGUGCUACGGCAGGUCUCCGCGCCAUCGCCGCGGACCCGGCGACGUGGCGCGCCCUCUGCCUCGCACAGUGGCCGUCGCUGGACCUGGAGACCCUGCAGCAGCACAACAUCCUUGGCUCUGCGGCCGUCUCUCCACCACGCCUCUUCGCCGACGCCUUCCCCUUCCCGUCCACUUCCACUUCCACGGAAGCCGCGGCCGAUCAGUGUCUCCCCGGUGAGCUGAUCUCCGCCGUGGACGUGUACCACACUGAGAAUGGAGCGCCCCGGCCCCUCUUCUCACGGGUCGUGGAGACCUCCACGUCGUCCUCGUGGUUCCUGGCCUCGCCCUUCCGCGUGGACGCCGUCGAGUGCAAGGACCCGGUACGGAUGGCCUCGGCCUCGUUCUCUCCGGCGGAGCUGGAGCUGAGCUGGAUCGUGGUGGACCCCCGGAGCGGGCGGGCGGUGAACGUGUCGAGCCGGCGGGCGGUGGCCGUGGACAGGCACUGGUACACGGGCGAGACGCUGGUGCGGUACGCGGUGGUGCUCGGCGGGAGCAAGUUCGAGGCCACGAUCACCUGCUCGGAGGAGGCCGGAUGCCUUAACCUCAGGGAGGUCAGCCUGACCGUCGAGGACGCCGACGGCGCGGCAGUGAGCGGCGAAGGCAGCCUGCGGCUCCUUGCGGCUGCGAUGGAAGCACCGAGGAGCAAAGCAGGGGAGAGGGAAAGAGAAGAGGCCAAGAGGAGGUACGAGGAGUUCGUGAGGAGCAAGAGGGGGCGGAAGGAGUCCAAGGCAAGGCGGGAGGUGCUCGUCGACUUGUGCUGCUCCGCCGUCAGCGCCGUCGCCGUGCUCAGCUUCCUCGCCUCCGUCGCGCUACGCUAG